Molecule: small nuclear RNA, 102 nt
Organism: Indicator indicator
Lineage: Eukaryota; Metazoa; Chordata; Aves; Piciformes; Indicatoridae
Source: RefSeq, a predicted model, not a curated record
UCCAGAGCUGCUGUAUGGUGGUGAAUGAGCUACAGACACAGAGAAGAUGAGCAUGGCCCCUGCACAAGAAUGACACAAAUUCUUGCAGCUUCCCAGAUUUUU